RNAcentral lists this ribosomal RNA (774 nucleotides) under uncultured Neocallimastigales. Its description in RNAcentral is "partial large subunit ribosomal RNA". It matches the Rfam family "Eukaryotic large subunit ribosomal RNA", at positions 23 to 644 of the family's 3401-position model. Lineage: Eukaryota; Fungi; Neocallimastigomycota; Neocallimastigomycetes; Neocallimastigales. The record is from RNAcentral.
AGAGAGAGACAUGCGCGCAUAUCAAUAAGCGGAGGAAAAGAAACUAACAAGGAUUCCCUUAGUAAGGGCGAGUGAAGCGGGAAGAGCUCAAAUUUGAAAUCUUCAAGGUUCUACCUUGACGAAUUGUAGUUUAUAGAAGUGUUUUCUGUUAGUGGAGUGGCAAAAGUUCUUUGGAAUAGGACAUCAUAGAGGGUGAGAAUCCCGUAUUUGACCAUUACUUCCAGCGUUGUGAUACACUUUCAAAGAGUCGGAUUGUUUGGGAAUGCAGUCCAAAAUGGGUGGUAAAUUUCAUCUAAAGCUAAAUAUUGGCGAGAGACCGAUAGCGAACAAGUACCGUGAGGGAAAGAUGAAAAGAACUUUGAAAAGAGAGUUAAACAGUACGUGAAAUUGUCAAAAGGGAAGCGUUUGACACCAGUGUUGUUUUUCCGAAAAUCAAUUACGAAUGUUUUGUUUUUGAGGAGUUAUGACUUCAUCGGCUUGCUCCUUUCUUUACGAAACUUUCUUAAUGCACUUUUCGGUUAACAAGUCAACAUCAAUUUCUUUUGUUGUAAAAGGGUAUGAGGAAGGUGGCUUUCUUUUCGGAGAAAGUGUUUAUAGCCUUGUACCUCUGCAAUCGGAGAGAUUGAGGUCUGCAGCGUAGAUCCUUCGGGGUUAGAUACGUUUGUGCUAAGUUAUAGCCUUUCAUAGACAACUUGUUGACUAUGUUUAGUCUUGUAGCUUACUCGCUGACGCUAUUUUACCUACGCUUAGGAUGUUGAUAGUCACAGCGUGUAC